This 406-nucleotide ribosomal RNA is filed under the name uncultured bacterium. RNAcentral's name for it is "partial 16S ribosomal RNA". It matches the Rfam family "Bacterial small subunit ribosomal RNA", at positions 30 to 526 of the family's 1533-position model. The record is from RNAcentral.
AUUGAACGCUGGCGGCAGGCCUAACACAUGCAAGUCGAGCGAGCGGCGGACGGGUGAGUAAUGUCUGGGAAACUGCCUGAUGGAGGGGGGUAACUACUGUAAACGGUAGCUAAUAUCGCAUACCAUCAGAUGUGCCCAGAUGGGAUUAGCUGGUAGGUGGGGUAACGACUCACCUAUGCGACGAGCCCUAGCUGGUCUGAGAGGAUGACCAGCCACACUGGAACUGAGACACGGUCCAGACUCCUACGGGAGGCAGCAGGGGGGAAUAUUGCACAAUGGGCGAAAGCCGGAUGCAGCCAUGCCGCGUGUGUGAAGAAGGCCUUCGGGUUGUAAAGCACUUUCAGCGAGGAGGCGUUACCCGCAGAAGAAGCACCGGCUAACUCCGUGCCAGCAGCCGCGGUAAUUC